UACGAGGGCUUCGAGCGUUAUCCGGAUUUAUUGGGCGUAAAGAGUGCGCAGGUGGUUUGGUGCGUCUGUCGUUAAAUGUCUCAGCUUAACUGGGUCGCCGCGGGAGAUACGACCAAACUAGAGCGUGUGAGAGGUAGCUGGAACUCACGGUGUAGGGGUGACAUCCGUUGAUAUCGUGGGGAACACCAAAGGCGAAGGCAGGCUACUGGCACAUCGCUGACACUCAGGCACGAAAGCGUGGGGAGCAAAAAGG
This 253-nucleotide unclassified non-coding RNA is filed under the name uncultured Parcubacteria group bacterium. Its description in RNAcentral is "contains 16S-23S intergenic spacer region". It matches the Rfam family "Bacterial small subunit ribosomal RNA", at positions 524 to 776 of the family's 1533-position model. The record is from RNAcentral.